AUACGUAGGGGGCGAGCGUUGUCCGGAAUUACUGGGCGUAAAGGGUGCGUAGGCGGCUUUGUAAGUCAGAUGUGAAAUCCCACGGCUUAACUGUGGUAAGCAUUUGAAACUGCAAGGCUUGAGUGCAGGAGAGGAGAGUGGAAUUCCUAGUGUAGCGGUGAAAUGCGUAGAUAUUAGGAGGAAUACCAGUGGCGAAGGCGACUCUCUGGACUGUAACUGACGCUGAUGCACGAAAGCGUGGGGAGCAAACAGGAUUAGAUACCCUGGUAGUCCACGCCGUAAACGAUGAGUGCUAGGUGUUGGGGGGGACACCCUUCGGUGCCGAAGUUAACACAUUAAGCACUCCGCCUGGGGAGUACGGUCGCAAGACUGAA
Molecule: ribosomal RNA, 374 nt
Filed under: uncultured bacterium
Lineage: Bacteria
Description: bacterial SSU rRNA
Rfam family: Bacterial small subunit ribosomal RNA
Source: RNAcentral